Molecule: ribosomal RNA, 513 nt
Filed under: uncultured bacterium
Lineage: Bacteria
Description: partial 16S ribosomal RNA
Rfam family: Bacterial small subunit ribosomal RNA
Source: RNAcentral
GACGAACGCUGGCGGCGUGCUUAACACAUGCAAGUCGAACGAAAAGAGGGAAAGAGCUUGCUCUUUCCGGAAUUGAGUGGCAAACGGGUGAGUAACACGUAAACAACCUGCCUUCAGGAUGGGGACAACAGACGGAAACGACUGCUAAUACCGAAUAAGUUCCAAGAGCCGCAUGGCCCAUGGAAGAAAAGGUGGCCUCUACCUGUAAGCUAUCGCCUGAAGAGGGGUUUGCGUCUGAUUAGCUGGUUGGAGGGGUAACGGCCCACCAAGGCGACGAUCAGUGGCCGGUCUGAGAGGAUGAACGGCCACACUGGAACUGAGACACGGUCCAGACUCCUACGGGAGGCAGCAGUGGGGAAUCUUCCGCAAUGGGCGAAAGCCUGACGGAGCAACGCCGCGUGAGUGAUGACGGCCUUCGGGUUGUAAAACUCUGUGAUCCGGGACGAAAAGGCAGAGUGCGAAGAACAAACUGCAUUGACGGUACCGGAAAAGCAAGCCACGGCUAACUACGUG